UGGGGAAUUUUGGACAAUGGGCGAAAGCCUGAUCCAGCAAUGCCGCGUGUGUGAAGAAGGCCUUCGGGUUGUAAAGCACUUUUGUCCGGAAAGAAAUCCUUGGCUCUAAUACAGUCGGGGGAUGACGGUACCGGAAGAAUAAGCACCGGCUAACUACGUGCCAGCAGCCGCGGUAAUACGUAGGGUGCAAGCGUUAAUCGGAAUUACUGGGCGUAAAGCGUGCGCAGGCGGUUUGCUAAGACCGAUGUGAAAUCCCCGGGCUCAACCUGGGAACUGCAUUGGUGACUGGCAGGCUAGAGUAUGGCAGAGGGGGGUAGAAUUCCACGUGUAGCAGUGAAAUGCGUAGAGAUGUGGAGGAAUACCGAUGGCGAAGGCAGCCCCCUGGGCCAAUACUGACGCUCAUGCACGAAAGCGUGGGGAGCAAACAGGAUUAGAUACCCUGGUAGUCCACGCCCUAAACGAUGUCAACUAGUUGUUGGGGAUUCAUUUCCCUAGUAACGUAGCUAACGCGUGAAGUUGACCGCCUGGGAAGUACGGUCGCAAGAUUAAAACUUAAAUGAAUUGACGGGGUCAUAGCUGUUUCCU
This 585-nucleotide ribosomal RNA is filed under the name uncultured bacterium. RNAcentral's name for it is "partial 16S ribosomal RNA". It matches the Rfam family "Bacterial small subunit ribosomal RNA", at positions 355 to 1375 of the family's 1533-position model. The record is from RNAcentral.